Molecule: microRNA precursor, 103 nt
Filed under: Marmota monax (woodchuck)
Lineage: Eukaryota; Metazoa; Chordata; Mammalia; Rodentia; Sciuridae
Source: RNAcentral
AGUGGGAUAACUGGGUCAAAUGGUGGUUUCAUUCCUAGCUUUUUGAGGAAUCUCCAUUCUGCUUUCCAGAGUGAUUGCACCAAUUUGCAUUCCCACCAACAAU